AUUGAACGCUGGCGGCAUGCCUUACACAUGCAAGUCGAACGGCAGCACGGGUGCUUGCACCUGGUGGCGAGUGGCGAACGGGUGAGUAAUAUAUCGGAACAUACCUUGUAGUGGGGGAUAACUAUCCGAAAGGAUAGCUAAUACCGCAUACGCUCUAAGGAGGCAAGUGGGGGAUCGCAAGACCUCAUGCUAUCAGAGUGGCCGAUAUCUGAUUAGCUAGUUGGUGAGGUAAAGGCUCACCAAGGCGACGAUCAGUAGCUGGUCUGAGAGGACGACCAGCCACACUAGAACUGAGACACGGUCCAGACUCCUACGGGAGGCAGCAGUGGGGAAUUUUGGACAAUGGGGGCAACCCUGAUCCAGCAAUGCCGCGUGAGUGAAGAAGGCCUUCGGGUUGUAAAGCUCUUUUGUCAGGGAAGAAACGGUUGUGGCUAAUAUCCAUGGCUAAUGACGGUACCUGAAGAAUAAGCACCGGCUAACUACGUGCCAGCCGCCGCAGUAA
This 502-nucleotide ribosomal RNA is filed under the name uncultured bacterium. Its description in RNAcentral is "partial 16S ribosomal RNA". It matches the Rfam family "Bacterial small subunit ribosomal RNA", at positions 30 to 523 of the family's 1533-position model. The record is from RNAcentral.